GCCACAGUGCCUCCUAGAGGAAGAGCGAGAAAGGGCAAGAGUCAUGCUUCCGAGUUUCCUUCACCUGAGCAACUCAAGGAAGAACGAGAGCCAUUUGCGGCUUCUGGGUAGUUUACGGGAAGGGGUGGUGAAGCAGAGGAAGACAGCGGUGUGUGACCUCGAGGGAACGUCUGGCAGCACGGCCUAUGGGAUGGGAAGAGGAGAAGGAUGGCCGGCAGCAUCGUGAGCCGUCCGGAGGUGCAGGAAGAGUCCCGGAGCUUCCGUCGUUUACUCAGUGGGGAGGCGGCGCCGCUCCGGGCGUCCUGGCUCCCCAGUGCCGCCUCCCCCAGGGGGCUCCAUGCCCCAGGCUCCCCGACCGAUGCUCUAGAUGCCAGGGCUGGGGACGGGUGGGGGGCGGCAGCGGCCCCGGUGCAGGGGCGGUGCCUCUAACCAACUUCUGAGCUGUUUUCCCCGGCCACCGCCGCGCUUUCUCCGAGGCCAGUCCCCGAAGCCCCGGAAAUCGGCUCGAAGUCUGGCGCUGGAGCGCGCCCUCGCCUAGAGCCCGCCCGCAGGCCGCGAGCGCCCAGGUCCAGGCCUGGCCGCCACCUGCCGGGGCUUGAGGCCACUUCCUCUUCGGGCCAAACUUUACCGAGUGUCAGCCCCCAGGGCCGGGCCGGGCGCUGUUCAACUUCUCCAGCGCGUCCAGCCCGCGGAACGCGGCAGAGGAGUGGGGGAGGGGUCAGGCGACUCGGUCCAGCGCCCAGUCCCUUGCCCAGACGGUACCCCCGCCGGCCCUAGGGUUGGAGAAGCCCGGGCGGAGGAGGGGGCGGGUGACGAGCCUGGCCACACCCCUGCCAAUCAACGCGCGCCCCGCCCACCCGCCCGUCUUAACCCCUUUCCGGUUCUGCCGAGUCGUGGCACGCUGGCUUUUAAGGUGCUCACCCUUACUUUUAACUCUGCUUUGUUUAGUCCUUUCCGUGUAACGUUAGUUACAGGACACGUUUGUCAGAGGACUACUGCUUAUUCUGUAACUGUCAUGUCUUUCCUUUGGAUCCUUAAGCUCUCAGUACUUCUCUCGUACCAAUGUCUGGGAUCCGGUAGUACUUUUUUUUGUGAGCCUCUAUUACAACAAUUACCACACCGUGUUAUAACUAUUUGUUUACUCUUUCCUGACCCCGCCCCCGCCCCGCCCCUUCUGUGGAAACCGAAACUUCCUGUAGGUUGGGGCCUAGACUGUUUACCUUUGUACCCACAAUGCUUCUCGCCUGCUGAGACACAGUAAUUCAACAAACGAAUAAAUGGUGCCUUCUCUA
Dama dama (fallow deer) is the source of this 1292-nucleotide long non-coding RNA. RefSeq lists it as uncharacterized. The transcript is spliced from 2 exons. The record is from RefSeq and is a predicted model, not a curated record. Lineage: Eukaryota; Metazoa; Chordata; Mammalia; Artiodactyla; Cervidae.